Molecule: long non-coding RNA, 1517 nt
Organism: Helianthus annuus (common sunflower)
Lineage: Eukaryota; Viridiplantae; Streptophyta; Magnoliopsida; Asterales; Asteraceae
Exons: 5
Source: RefSeq, a predicted model, not a curated record
CAUAAAAUUUUAAGAUGGCAGACGAAGGGUCAUGCCUUCUUCCCUGUUCUUUCAUCCUCUUUUCCCAAUUUUGCCCCAAUUCAAUGUAUUACCCCAAUGAAGUCUACACCUGAACAACAAAGAUACGCAAAGCGUCACUCCCAUUUCUAAUACAUAGGUCUCAUCAUUGACUACAUUCACUUCAUCUUCCUUCUCUCUCUAUUCAAUACCCGUUAUAUUUUGUAGGUUUUAAUCCCUGAUUGAAUGAAAAUAUUGAAGGGUCGUUCGUUUUCAGAUUUAGAAUAUAACUGUCAGGCAGUGAUGGUUCAGAUGGAACCUCAGUCACGCGCCGAUUAGGGAUUCACUAGUCGAGAGUUGUGCCAGAUCAGUAUGACGAGUUCAAUUACUAUGUGUACGCUUCAGAUGCAUCGGCGGUGUAUGGUUUAUCCGCGCUUGGAUUGUUGUUGAUUAGUCAGAAGGUUGAGAAGUGUGGCGGUUUUCUUCUUUGUUUUCUCCUGGAUGGUCGUAUAGAUUAUAAUGAAUUUGUAGCAAUGGUGCACAAUGGAAGCGCGACAUUGACAAAGAAGCAAUUAAAGGAUGAUUUUAGUGUUGGGUUAAGGGAGUCGGUGCCAGUUUCUUUAUAGUAUUUGUUUUCAUUGUUUCAUAUAAAUGGCACAUCAUAACAAGUGGAUGUACAGAGUUCACAUUCAUACAUGGGGCGCACACAUAAACACUUAUUCACGAGUUUUAUAGAAUGUUUCAUAACAUUUGUCACUAUUAGCCAUGGGUAUCGGUUACCAAUUAUUGGAUGGGGUGGUAGUGGGAGUGGGUUGGGGUAUGUUUGAUAUGUUGUGGGCUUUGGGUCUUUUGGUUUGGGCUGGAGAUAUAAGGGGAUGGCAGGUAGUUGACCCGUAUAACAUUUCUGCUUGUUUUUUUGGUGGUUCGUUCUUCUCAUCUUCUUAUUUGGUAGCUACAUUUUAGGUCCUUCAACCCUUUUUAAUUCUUUUUAGCAGGUUCAAAAUGACACACUACCACAUUUUAGUCUUUAGAAGCUGUGAUCUUUUAUUUCUUGUUUUUGAGUGCUUAUGUGUAAUGUUAAUAUUUUAACUUGAAAUUUUAAAUCUGUGGUACUGUUUCAUUUUGUUCCGGUUACUGAUGAAGAGCCAAAUCCAUGCUGGUCGAAGGGGCCUAGGGAAGUUAACUGUUGAUGUAAUCACUUGCAGGUUUGAUGUCAGAAAUGAUGAAGAAAUGCAGCAAGGAGAAGAAGAGGCUUUAUUCUGCACUUUGUGCAAUGUAAAGUUUCCCAGGUGGAAUAUGAAGUUCUAAGGUUGCUUGGUCUGGAACAUAGUCAGAUCACUGUUUUGAUGGACUUUGGACUCUCAUUUUUUGGAAUCCUUGUAAAAACGUUGAGAUCAUGUAUUGCAUUUCUUCAAGAUUAUUACCCAACCCGGCUUGGGUGUUUACUUGUUGUAUGGCUCCCCUCUAUUGCCCGAGUCAUAACUCAAACUCAAUUCCAAGUAAGCAUGUUUGAUUUUGUA